GGGUCGUGAUUUGUGCAAAUAUGUUAUUUCGUUCAUAUUGCACCAGUCCCGGCCUGA
Molecule: microRNA precursor, 57 nt
Filed under: Tribolium castaneum (red flour beetle)
Lineage: Eukaryota; Metazoa; Arthropoda; Insecta; Coleoptera; Tenebrionidae
Description: Tca-Mir-92-P14_pre stem-loop
Source: RNAcentral